AGCGGCGCCAGCACGCUGGCGGCGCGGCAGUUGGCGCUUGCCGCCUUGGCCGGUUCGGGCUUGGCCGCCACCGCCA
Molecule: transfer RNA, 76 nt
Filed under: Sphingomonas bisphenolicum
Lineage: Bacteria; Pseudomonadati; Pseudomonadota; Alphaproteobacteria; Sphingomonadales; Sphingomonadaceae
Description: tRNA-Ala
Source: RNAcentral